This 622-nucleotide ribosomal RNA is filed under the name Salmonella enterica subsp. enterica serovar Infantis. Its description in RNAcentral is "bacterial SSU rRNA". It matches the Rfam family "Bacterial small subunit ribosomal RNA", at positions 1 to 612 of the family's 1533-position model. The record is from RNAcentral. Lineage: Bacteria; Pseudomonadati; Pseudomonadota; Gammaproteobacteria; Enterobacterales; Enterobacteriaceae. RNAcentral also lists the same sequence under 2 other names.
AAAUUGAAGAGUUUGAUCAUGGCUCAGAUUGAACGCUGGCGGCAGGCCUAACACAUGCAAGUCGAACGGUAACAGGAAGCAGCUUGCUGCUUCGCUGACGAGUGGCGGACGGGUGAGUAAUGUCUGGGAAACUGCCUGAUGGAGGGGGAUAACUACUGGAAACGGUGGCUAAUACCGCAUAACGUCGCAAGACCAAAGAGGGGGACCUUCGGGCCUCUUGCCAUCAGAUGUGCCCAGAUGGGAUUAGCUUGUUGGUGAGGUAACGGCUCACCAAGGCGACGAUCCCUAGCUGGUCUGAGAGGAUGACCAGCCACACUGGAACUGAGACACGGUCCAGACUCCUACGGGAGGCAGCAGUGGGGAAUAUUGCACAAUGGGCGCAAGCCUGAUGCAGCCAUGCCGCGUGUAUGAAGAAGGCCUUCGGGUUGUAAAGUACUUUCAGCGGGGAGGAAGGUGUUGCGGUUAAUAACCGCAGCAAUUGACGUUACCCGCAGAAGAAGCACCGGCUAACUCCGUGCCAGCAGCCGCGGUAAUACGGAGGGUGCAAGCGUUAAUCGGAAUUACUGGGCGUAAAGCGCACGCAGGCGGUCUGUCAAGUCGGAUGUGAAAUCCCCGGGCUCAA